AUACGGGAGGCAGCAGUGAGGAAUAUUGGUCAAUGGGCGCAAGCCUGAACCAGCCAUCCCGCGUGCAGGAAGACGGCGCUAUGCGUUGUAAACUGCUUUUCCAGGGGGUGAAACUUUCGCACGCGUGCGGAAUUGACGGUACCCUGGGAAUAAGCAUCGGCUAACUCCGUGCCAGCAGCCGCGGUAAUACGGAGGAUGCGAGCGUUAUCCGGAUUUAUUGGGUUUAAAGGGUGCGUAGGCGGAUUAAUAAGUCAGAGGUGAAACCCUGCAGCUUAACUGUAGACUUGCCUUUGAUACUGUUGAUCUUGAGUGUGGUCAAGGUAGGCGGAAUGUGUAAUGUAGCGGUGAAAUGCUUAGAUAUUACACAGAACACCGAUUGCGAAGGCAGCUUGCUGGACCAUUACUGACGCUGAUGCACGAAAGCGUGGGGAUCGAACAGGAUUAGAUACCCCGGUAGC
Molecule: ribosomal RNA, 458 nt
Filed under: uncultured bacterium
Lineage: Bacteria
Description: bacterial SSU rRNA
Rfam family: Bacterial small subunit ribosomal RNA
Source: RNAcentral